Notolabrus celidotus (New Zealand spotty) is the source of this 1013-nucleotide long non-coding RNA. RefSeq lists it as uncharacterized. NCBI's taxonomy places the organism in Eukaryota, Metazoa, Chordata, Actinopteri, Labriformes, Labridae. The record is from RefSeq and is a predicted model, not a curated record. The transcript has 6 exons.
CAGCACUGCGCAUGCGUUAAACGCUCCAGUGCAGCUACGCGGUAAAUUCGAAUCAUAGACCAAUAACCCCUAGCUUUGUACUUUUCACAUUGUUCCUGUUUAACAAGCACCCAACUAGAUGCAUUAGUAUCAAGAAAGUGACCCAAAUAAGCUUGCUUUUCAAACUUAAUUUCACCAUGCAUUUCUGCUCUCUUAAACUCAACAUGAAAUUCCAGCUAGCUAAAAGAAGACCUGGGAGAAACACACCUAGCAAGCUCGUGCUAAGGACAGAGGCAGAGGGAAACAUGGUGAACUAUCCAGUGUGAUGCAGCCAGAAAUGAAGCUCCAAGCCGGCUGAGGUAAACCAGGCAUGAAGAGGCAGUUAUGCAUCACUACAGUCCUCGAAGGAGAGAGGUGUACUCCAGCAGGUGUUUUUCAUCAUCAGGGUACUCUUCAAAUUGGCAGACAUCGCUUUGGGCCUUCGAAACAUUUCCAUUUCAGGACCUGAAAGAAAAGAUUGACGUCACCUGAGGACCCAAAUGUAGGAAACUACAUGAAUUGCCAAAACGUCUUUAUACACAAACUAAUGAUAUUCAAAACAACACAUUAAGAAUAUGAAAUGAGAAAUGUAGUCAAAGUUGCAUGUACAACACUACCACAUCAAUGAACAGAGGGCCCCUCAAGCUACUGAGGGAUGGCUGCAGAAAGGGUGCAGUAAAAACAAAGAUGACUCUCCUGCAUUAUCGCUCAGCAGUAAGAUUACUCAGACUGAAUUACAGCGUUGCACUGGUUCUUUCUUUUCUCACCACCUCAAAAGGAUGUAGAUGUACGUGUUUUGUUUUUAACACAACCUUGGUUUGACACUUUGAAAUGAGCAUGUGCUCUUUCUCUCGUUCUCACCCCUUUCUCCGCUCUAAUGAGAGGUAUGUGGCUGGUUGAAGAUCUAUUCUAAACUUGGUUUUUGAAAGUGCUAAUCUGAGGUCAUGCUGAGAAUUGAGUCUGUUUUUGUAACUGAAUAAAAAUGGUGGAUAAAC